GUAGGGUGCGAGCGUUAAUCGGAAUUACUGGGCGUAAAGCGUGCGCAGGCGGUUUUGUAAGCCAGAUGUGAAAUCCCGGGCUUAACCUGGGAAUGGCAUUUGGGACUGCAAGGCUAGAGUGCGGCAGAGGAGACUGGAAUUCCUGGUGUAGCAGUGAAAUGCGUAGAUAUCAGGAGGAAUACCGAUGGCGAAGGCAGGUCUCUGGGCUGACACUGACGCUCAUCCACGAAAGCGUGGGGAGCAACCAGGAUUAGAUACCCUGGUAGUCCACGCCCUAAACGAUGUCGACUGGUUGUUGGGGGUUUGACACUCUCAGUAACGGAGCUAACGCGUGAAGUCGCCCGCCUGGGGAGUACGGCUGCAAGGUUA
Molecule: ribosomal RNA, 369 nt
Filed under: uncultured bacterium
Lineage: Bacteria
Description: bacterial SSU rRNA
Rfam family: Bacterial small subunit ribosomal RNA
Source: RNAcentral